RNAcentral lists this ribosomal RNA (394 nucleotides) under uncultured bacterium. Its description in RNAcentral is "partial 16S ribosomal RNA". It matches the Rfam family "Bacterial small subunit ribosomal RNA", at positions 338 to 729 of the family's 1533-position model. The record is from RNAcentral.
CCUACGGGAGGCUGCAGUGAGGAAUAUUGGUCAAUGGACGCAAGUCUGAACCAGCCACGCCGCGUGCAGGAAGACGGCUCUCUGAGUUGUAAACUCUUUUUGCAGGAGGGUAAACGCAGACUCGCGUUUCUGACUGAGAGCCUCGUACGAACGAGCAUCGGCCCACUGUGUGCCAGCAGCCGCGGGAAUACGGAGGAUUCAAGCGUUAUCCGGAUUUUUUGGGUUUAAAGGGUGCGUAGGCGGUCGGACAAGUUAGGGGUGAAAGCCCGGGGUUCAACUUCGGAAUUGCCUUUGAUACUAGUCGACUAGAGUGUAGUAGCGGUAGGCGGAAUGUAUGGUGUAGCGGUGAAAUGCUUAGAGAUCAGACGGAACACCGGUUGCGAAGGCAGCUUAC